RNAcentral lists this ribosomal RNA (430 nucleotides) under uncultured bacterium. RNAcentral's name for it is "partial 16S ribosomal RNA". It matches the Rfam family "Bacterial small subunit ribosomal RNA", at positions 29 to 507 of the family's 1533-position model. The record is from RNAcentral.
ACGAACGCUGGCGGCAGGCUUCACACAUGCACGUCGAGCGCCCCGCACGGGGAGCGGCAGACGGGUGAGUAACGCGUGGGAACGUACCUUUUGGUUCGGAACAACUCCGGGAAACUGGAGCUAAUACCGGAUAAGCCCUAACGGGGAAAGAUUUAUCGCCGAAAGAUCGGCCCGCGUCUGAUUAGCUAGUUGGUGAGGUAACGGCUCACCAAGGCGACGAUCAGUAGCUGGUCUGAGAGGAUGAUCAGCCACACUGGGACUGAGACACGGCCCAGACUCCUACGGGAGGCAGCAGUGGGGAAUAUUGGACAAUGGGCGCAAGCCUGAUCCAGCCAUGCCGCGUGAGUGAUGAAGGCCUUAGGGUUGUAAAGCUCUUUUGUCCGGGAAGAUAAUGACUGUACCGGAAGAAUAAGCCCCGGCUAACUUCGUG